UGCAGUCACAACUGCGAUUUCUCU
RNAcentral lists this non-coding RNA (24 nucleotides) under Rattus norvegicus (Norway rat). Lineage: Eukaryota; Metazoa; Chordata; Mammalia; Rodentia; Muridae. The record is from RNAcentral.